GCCAACAGCGCCAAGUAAUAUAUGAACUAAAUGGUGAUAUUUGAGGUAUAUUGACAAUAUAACUGAAUGGGAUUUCGUAAUUAAAACAUUUUAUUUUUGGUUUUAAUAAAUUAUAUGAAUAUAUAAAACAAGUGAAAAGUUCCAUUUAUUCUUAUUAUAUAGUUUUAUUAGUUCAGCUAAAAACAACCACAAAUAAAACAUAGAAUUAAUUAUUAAAAAGGGAUUCUAAUCAAUCAGCCAUGAAAUAUUAUUAGAUACAUAGAUUAUAAUCAAAGGCAGAAAUUUAGUCCUUGUUAAAAAUGUAAGGGAUGUUGAAGAACAUUGGAAAAUAAUGAAAAUUAUCUUAUCAAAUCGCGUGUUAUCAGAUAAGCAUUGGUCCAUGCAACACCUUACACUACAUCAUUAAAUAUAAAUGCGACAUUGAUGUUUAAUAUAAUUGCGUUUACAACCAAAGUAAAAAGUGCAAACAUAUUGCUGCAUUGAUUUACUUUAUUAAAAAUGAAGAAAGUGCAUCAAAAACAAAUAAUGAGCAACAGUGAGGGAAACAGACAAUUUGCACGACAAUUUGCCAAAAAAAAAUAUUCUAAAGAAGAAUAUUUCGAAAAAAUGGCACCUCAUAAACGUACAACUACAUGAGUCUUAAGAAGUGUAUAUUUCUGAAUUAAUUGCAAAUUUUUCAUUGAAACAGAUUUUAAAAUCCAAAAUAGAAAAAACAAAUAUUCAUAUAGUAAAAAAUAUUAUGAAUUCGUUACUGAUGCAAGUGGAAAUUAAUUUAGAAAAAGAAGAUUGUGCCGAAUGCGUUAAUAAUUUUUUAAUUUUCGGUAAAGACCAUUUAAUUUAUAAAUGUGAUUAUGAACUGGAUAUGAAUCUAAGAAAUUUUUAUGUUAAAAAUAUUAUCUAUAUAAAUUAUUAUUACUGUCUGAGAAAAACGUCGUUAAUUUAAGCUGUAAAACUUUAGGACAAUCUUCUUGUAAUGAACGGUACAAAUCUACGACUUCUUGCUAGUACAAAUAUGCACAGUAUUAAAAUGCGGUCAAAAAAAACUAUCGACAGUCUGGUAUCAGAUAUUUUAUACCCUAAAAAAAUUAAUUGUGCUUCUACCAGAUAUAGUUUAAUACAUGAAUGUCAUGCCAAAGAAAAAUAUGAACUACUUUAUAAUUGCAUUGUAAAAUGUGUUGGUGUAGUUGUUCGUAAAUUUUAAACUUGACUUUGUGCGAGUCUUGAUGAUAUUGUCAUAGAAGAUGGAUGCAUUUCGAAACUAGUAAAAUGUUUUGCUAAUACGUUUAUAAUUCACAAUACAGCAACUCCGGGGCUUAUUUCUUUUGAUUAUUUAAAGAAAAAAAUUAAAAUCAACACGUAUAUAUAAUUCACUAAAAGUACAAAAUAUCCCCCUGAAGUACUUGACUUAUCUAUGAAUUGAAGUUUUUCGUAGAUGAAAUGCAUCACUGGCAAUUAGACGCCAAUGUAAUCGAGCGGCACCUUAUAAAUGCUCGGUAAUAAAUUUUUCUGUUUCAUAGAUCUGGUGUUGAUGCAUAUGUGAACAACUUCGGUAAUUCGCAAGUUUAUUUGAUGCCAAUUUUGCCAGGAGUUCCAUGAAAUGUAUUCACGUGACAAUGGAAAUCCUUUCGUUUGGAACAAGCAACGCCAGGACUCAACAAAUAUUAUUAAUUAAUAUAUGAUUUACUGAUACGUAAAUUGCAACACAUGAUUGAUAAAUAGUAUAUCCAUAAUCAUAUAUAUAUAAAGAAAUACUAUUCAAAAAAAAGUACUAUUUUGAUAGAAAAACAACGUGUAUCAAACUUGUUAUUAGAAGAAGGAAGAAGAAAAGGAUAAUAAAAAAACAAUAUAUAAUCAGCGCUGUUGAACCUGUCGAAGUCUCUCAAUCGAUAUAUAUCGAGUUUUUCAAUGUAGUGAACAAAAUUCAAAUGGAUUUCGUGGUUUAAAGAAACAAAUCCUCAUGAGGAUUAACAGCUUUUUCAUAUCGGGCGUGGAUUAGACAAGAAUUGAUAAAUAAUUUUGACGUUGCAAGAGGAUCACUUUUCUAAUCUAUUAUGAAGCGAUGAUGAUAUUAGUAAAUUUAAAAAUGAACAACCAUUUGAAUCAAAAGACGAAACAGAUGCUGAUCGACGUAUAUCCUAGGUAAAUACUUACGUUGGAUUUGAUGCGAACUAAGAACACGCGUACGAAUGAACAGUGGAUAGAAAAAGAAACCGAAGCAUUACGUUGAAGCUGUUAGAUAAUUCUCCAGUGAUGUUUGUAAACAAGCUUAUAAGUGGUUUGGAUUCCUAUUUUUCUCUUCAAUACGUGAAAAUACUUCAGAAGCUAACGAAAUACGAUACGACGAUAAUUUGCACAAUCCGUCAACCUAACUUGUCUAUUUACGAGAUAUUCGAUCAUAUUUACUUGCUAACCGAUGAAUGUUACAUAUAGAGGGUAGUAAUUAAAAAUACAAUCAACUAUUUCUCUAAUCUUGGUCUGCACUGUCUAAAAUAUCAUAAUCCUACGGACUAUAUGAUAGAGAUUAUUAGCAACGAAUAUAGAAACUUCAAAGAUCAAUUUGUAGGUAUACAGAUAGAGGAUAACAAAACGAUCUGGGAGUAAAUGCGCUCAGAGAAAUUGUUGAUAAUCGAAAAGAAAAGCCUUCGACAUUGAAUAUCAUAAUCCUGUGGAUUUUUCAUAAUUCAUUACAAUCACUUAUUUCUUAUUUCAGUCGAUCGUUGAAGUUUCCGUAUUCGUUGUUAACGAUUUCUAUCAUAUAAUUCACGGGAUUAUGAUAUUUUGAACAAUGCAGAUCUAAAUUAGCAAAGUAAUCGAUUGUGUUUUUAGCUGCUUCCUCGUAUAUGCACCGUCCGUCGACUAGCAAGUAAAUGUGAUCGAAUAUCACGAAUAUAGCUGUCCUAAUGUAAGCUGAUAGAUGUGCAGAUUAUCAUUCUAUCGCCUAUUGUUAACUUCUAUAGCAUUUUUACACAGUGAAAAG
This is a long non-coding RNA of Vespa mandarinia (Asian giant hornet), 2977 nucleotides long. Lineage: Eukaryota; Metazoa; Arthropoda; Insecta; Hymenoptera; Vespidae. The record is from RefSeq and is a predicted model, not a curated record.